RNAcentral lists this ribosomal RNA (253 nucleotides) under uncultured bacterium. Its description in RNAcentral is "partial 16S ribosomal RNA". It matches the Rfam family "Bacterial small subunit ribosomal RNA", at positions 524 to 776 of the family's 1533-position model. The record is from RNAcentral.
GACGUAGGGGGCGAGCGUUGUCCGGAUUUAUUGGGCGUAAAGCGUGCGUAGGCGGCUGCGCAAGUCGGGUGUGAAACCCCGGGGCUCAACCCCGGAACUGCAUCCGAUACUGCGUGGCUAGAGGUAGGUAGGGGAGAUCGGAAUUCCUGGUGUAGCGGUGAAAUGCGCAGAUAUCAGGAGGAACACCGGUGGCGAAGGCGGGUCUCUGGGCCGAUACUGACGCUGAGGAGCGAAAGCGUGGGGAGCAAACAGG